UACGAAGGGGCUAGCGUUGCUCGGAAUCACUGGGCGUAAAGCGCACGUAGGCGGACUCUUAAGUCGGUGGUGAAAUCCUGGAGCUCAACUCCAGAACUGCCUUCGAUACUGAGAGUCUCGAGUCCGGGAGAGGUGAGUGGAACUGCGAGUGUAGAGGUGAAAUUCGUAGAUAUUCGCAAGAACACCAGUGGCGAAGGCGGCUCACUGGCCCGGUACUGACGCUGAGGUGCGAAAGCGUGGGGAGCAAACAGG
This 252-nucleotide ribosomal RNA is filed under the name uncultured bacterium. RNAcentral describes it as "partial 16S ribosomal RNA". It matches the Rfam family "Bacterial small subunit ribosomal RNA", at positions 524 to 776 of the family's 1533-position model. The record is from RNAcentral.